CGAAUGCUGACAUAAGUAACGAUAAAGCGGGUGAAAAGCCCGCUCGCCGGAAGACCAAGGGUUCCUGUCCAACGUUAAUCGGGGCAGGGUGAGUCGACCCCUAAGGCGAGGCCGAAAGGCGUAGUCGAUGGGAAACAGGUUAAUAUUCCUGUACUUGGUGUUACUGCGAAGGGGGGACGGAGAAGGCUAUGUUGGCCGGGCGACGGUUGUCCCGGUUUAAGCGUGUAGGCUGGUUUUCCAGGCAAAUCCGGAAAAUCAAGGCUGAGGCGUGAUGACGAGGCACUACGGUGCUGAAGCAACAAAUGCCCUGCUUCCAGGAAAAGCCUCUAAGCAUCAGGUAACAUCAAAUCGUACCCCAAACCGACACAGGUGGUCAGGUAGAGAAUACCAAGGCGCUUGAGAGAACUCGGGUGAAGGAACUAGGCAAAAUGGUGCCGUAACUUCGGGAGAAGGCACGCUGAUAUGUAGGUGAAGUCCCUCGCGGAUGGAGCUGAAAUCAGUCGAAGAUACCAGCUGGCUGCAACUGUUUAUUAAAAACACAGCACUGUGCAAACACGAAAGUGGACGUAUACGGUGUGACGCCUGCCCGGUGCCGGAAGGUUAAUUGAUGGGGUCAGCGCAAGCGAAGCUCUUGAUCGAAGCCCCGGUAAACGGCGGCCGUAACUAUAACGGUCCUAAGGUAGCGAAAUUCCUUGUCGGGUAAGUUCCGACCUGCACGAAUGGCGUAAUGAUGGCCAGGCUGUCUCCACCCGAGACUCAGUGAAAUUGAACUCGCUGUGAAGAUGCAGUGUACCCGCGGCAAGACGGAAAGACCCCGUGAACCUUUACUAUAGCUUGACACUGAACAUUGAGCCUUGAUGUGUAGGAUAGGUGGGAGGCUUGGAAGUGUGGACGCCAGUCUGCAUGGAGCCGACCUUGAAAUACCACCCUUUAAUGUUUGAUGUUCUAACGUUGACCCGUGAUCCGGGUUGCGGACAGUGUCUGGUGGGUAGUUUGACUGGGGCGGUCUCCUCCUAAAGAGUAACGGAGGAGCACGAAGGUUGGCUAAUCCUGGUCGGACAUCAGGAGGUUAGUGCAAUGGCAUAAGCCAGCUUGACUGCGAGCGUGACGGCGCGAGCAGGUGCGAAAGCAGGUCAUAGUGAUCCGGUGGUUCUGAAUGGAAGGGCCAUCGCUCAACGGAUAAAAGGUACUCCGGGGAUAACAGGCUGAUACCGCCCAAGAGUUCAUAUCGACGGCGGUGUUUGGCACCUCGAUGUCGGCUCAUCACAUCCUGGGGCUGAAGUAGGUCCCAAGGGUAUGGCUGUUCGCCAUUUAAAGUGGUACGCGAGCUGGGUUUAGAACGUCGUGAGACAGUUCGGUCCCUAUCUGCCGUGGGCGCUGGAGAACUGAGGGGGGCUGCUCCUAGUACGAGAGGACCGGAGUGGACGCAUCACUGGUGUUCGGGUUGUCAUGCCAAUGGCACUGCCCGGUAGCUAAAUGCGGAAGAGAUAAGUGCUGAAAGCAUCUAAGCACGAAACUUGCCCCGAGAUGAGUUCUCCCUGACUCCUUGAGAGUCCUGAAGGAACGUUGAAGACGACGACGUUGAUAGGCCGGGUGUGUAAGCGCAGCGAUGCGUUGAGCUAACCGGUACUAAUGAACCGUGAGGCUUAACCUU
RNAcentral lists this ribosomal RNA (1654 nucleotides) under Escherichia coli. RNAcentral describes it as "partial 23S ribosomal RNA". It matches the Rfam family "Bacterial large subunit ribosomal RNA", at positions 1291 to 2925 of the family's 2925-position model. The record is from RNAcentral. Lineage: Bacteria; Pseudomonadati; Pseudomonadota; Gammaproteobacteria; Enterobacterales; Enterobacteriaceae.